GACGAACGCUGGCGGCGUGCUUAACACAUGCAAGUCGAGCGGUAAGGCCCUUUCGGGGGUACACGAGCGGCGAACGGGUGAGUAACACGUGGGUGACCUGCCCUCAGCUCUGGGAUAAGCCUGGGAAACCGGGUCUAAUACUGGAUAUGACUCCAUGACGCAUGUUGUGGGGUGGAAAGCCUUGUGCGGCUGAGGAUGGGCCCGCGGCCUAUCAGCUUGUUGGUGGGGUGAGGCCUACCAAGGCGACGACGGGUAGCCGGCCUGAGAGGGCGACCGGCCACACUGGGACUGAGACACGGCCCAGACUCCUACGGGAGGCAGCAGUGGGGAACCUUGCGCAAUGGGCGAAAGCCUGACGCAGCGACGCCGCGUGAGGGAUGACGGCCUGGUGUAACU
This 396-nucleotide ribosomal RNA is filed under the name uncultured bacterium. RNAcentral's name for it is "bacterial SSU rRNA". It matches the Rfam family "Bacterial small subunit ribosomal RNA", at positions 28 to 430 of the family's 1533-position model. The record is from RNAcentral.